AUACGGAGGAUGCAAGCGUUAUCCGGAUUUAUUGGGUUUAAAGGGUGCGUAGGCGGAUGAUUAAGCGUGAGGUGAAAUGCCACUGCUCAACAGUGGAACUGCCUCGCGAACUGGUUGUCUUGAAUGCUCCUGCCGUGGGAGGAAUGUGUGGUGUAGCGGUGAAAUGCAUAGAGAUCACACAGAACACCGAUUGCGAAGGCAUCUCACGAAGGGUUGAUUGACGCUGAGGCACGAAAGCGUGGGGAUCAAACAGGAUUAGAUACCCUGGUAGUCCACGCAGUAAACGAUGAUGGCUAACCGCUGGGCUUAUCAGUUCAGUGGCCAAGCGAAAGCGAUAAGCAAUCCACCUGGGGAGUACGACCGCAAGGUUGAAACUCAAAUGAAUUGACGGGG
RNAcentral lists this ribosomal RNA (393 nucleotides) under uncultured bacterium. Its description in RNAcentral is "partial 16S ribosomal RNA". It matches the Rfam family "Bacterial small subunit ribosomal RNA", at positions 523 to 918 of the family's 1533-position model. The record is from RNAcentral.